This 237-nucleotide long non-coding RNA is filed under the name Phaseolus vulgaris (common bean). Its description in RNAcentral is "long non-coding RNA (PVUL_LNC003463)". Lineage: Eukaryota; Viridiplantae; Streptophyta; Magnoliopsida; Fabales; Fabaceae. The record is from RNAcentral.
AGGUGCAUGUCCACCUCAUCUCCGUUCCAUUCGACGAGCUCUCGGUUGCUGAUGAGCUGUCGAACCAAGGUGAUGACCCGGCUAAAGUUCUCGUGGCUAGCUCCAGAGGCGCUUGGUCGCGAGCUGGAUCCACCACAUUCAGCAGUAGCAGUGGAGAUUGGCAGUGGUGGCGGGAGACCCCCCGGAUGAGCAGAAGCGCCCCCAGCAGGAGGAGCAGAUGGACCAAGAGAUUGGCCU